GUAAGCUACUAAGAGCGAAUGGUGGAUGCCUUGACUGGUAAAGGCGAUGAAGGACGUACUAGACUGCGAUAAGCUACGGGGAGCUGUCAAGAAGCUUUGAUCCGUAGAUUUCCGAAUGGGGCAACCCAAUGUAUAGAGAUAUACAUUACCUAUAUAGGAGCGAACGAGGGGAAUUGAAACAUCUUAGUACCCUCAGGAAAAGAAAUCAAUAGAGAUUGCGUCAGUAGCGGCGAGCGAAAGCGCAAGAGGGCAAACCCAGUGCUUGCACUGGGGGUUGUAGGACUGCAAUGUGCAAGAGGUAAGUUUAGCAGAACAUUCUGGAAAGUAUAACCAUAGAGGGUGAUAGUCCCGUAUGCGAAAAACAAACCUUAGCUAGCAGUAUCCUGAGUAGGGCGGGACACGAGGAAUCCUGUCUGAAUCCGGGUCGACCACGAUCCAACCCUAAAUACUAAUACCAGAUCGAUAGUGCACAAGUACCGUGAGGGAAAGGUGAAAAGAACUGAGGUGAUCAGAGUGAAAUAGAACCUGAAACCAUUUGCUUACAAUCAUUCAGAGCCCUAUGUAGCAAUACAGGGUGAUGGACUGCCUUUUGCAUAAUGAGCCUGCGAGUUGUGGUGUCUGGCAAGGUUAAGCAAACGCGAAGCCGUAGCGAAAGCGAGUCUGAAUAGGGCGCUUAGUCAGAUGCUGCAGACCCGAAACGAAGUGAUCUAUCCAUGAGCAAGUUGAAGCUAGUGUAAGAACUAGUGGAGGACUGAACCCAUAGGCGUUGAAAAGCCCCGGGAUGACUUGUGGAUAGGGGUGAAAGGCCAAUCAAACUUCGUGAUAGCUGGUUCUCUCCGAAAUAUAUUUAGGUAUAGCGUUGUGUCGUAAUAUAAGGGGGUAGAGCACUGAAUGGGCUAGGGCAUACACCAAUGUACCAAACCCUAUCAAACUCCGAAUACCUUAUAUGUAAUCACAGCAGUCAGGCGGCGAGUGAUAAAAUCCGUCGUCAAGAGGGAAACAACCCAGACUACCAGCUAAGGUCCCUAAAUCUUACUUAAGUGGAAAACGAUGUGAAGUUACUUAAACAACCAGGAGGUUGGCUUAGAAGCAGCCAUCCUUUAAAGAAAGCGUAAUAGCUCACUGGUCUAGUGAUUUUGCGCGGAAAAUAUAACGGGGCUAAAGUAAGUACCGAAGCUGUAGACUUAGUUUACUAAGUGGUAGGAGAGCGUUCUAUUUGCGUCGAAGGUAUACCGGUAAGGAGUGCUGGAGCGAAUAGAAGUGAGCAUGCAGGCAUGAGUAGCGAUAAUUAAUGUGAGAAUCAUUAACGCCGUAAACCCAAGGUUUCCUACGCGAUGCUCGUCAUCGUAGGGUUAGUCGGGUCCUAAGUCGAGUCCGAAAGGGGUAGACGAUGGCAAAUUGGUUAAUAUUCCAAUACCAACAUUAGUGUGCGAUGGAAGGACGCUUAGGGCUAAGGGGGCUAGCGGAUGGAAGUGCUAGUCUAAGGUCGUAGGAGGUUGUACAGGCAAAUCCGUAUAACAAUACUCCGAGAACUGAAAGGCUUUUUGAAGUCUUCGGAUGGAUAGAAGAACCCCUGAUGCCGUCGAGCCAAGAAAAGUUUCUAAGUUUAGCUAAUGUUGCCCGUACCGUAAACCGACACAGGUGGGUGGGAUGAGUAUUCUAAGGCGCGUGGAAGAACUCUCUUUAAGGAACUCUGCAAAAUAGCACCGUAUCUUCGGUAUAAGGUGUGGUUAGCUUUGUAUUAGGAUUUACUCCGAAAGCAAGGAAACUUACAACAAAGAGUCCCUCCCGACUGUUUACCAAAAACACAGCACUCUGCUAACUCGUAAGAGGAUGUAUAGGGUGUGACGCCUGCCCGGUGCUCGAAGGUUA
Molecule: ribosomal RNA, 1872 nt
Filed under: Campylobacter jejuni
Lineage: Bacteria; Pseudomonadati; Campylobacterota; Epsilonproteobacteria; Campylobacterales; Campylobacteraceae
Description: partial 23S ribosomal RNA
Rfam family: Bacterial large subunit ribosomal RNA
Source: RNAcentral